GGAAAGGUGGCCGAGUGGUUGAAGGCGCACGCUUGGAAAGCGUGUAUGCGGGUGACCGUAUCGAGGGUUCGAAUCCCUUCCUUUCCGCCA
RNAcentral lists this transfer RNA (90 nucleotides) under Candidatus Pelagibacteraceae bacterium. RNAcentral's name for it is "tRNA-Ser". It matches the Rfam family "tRNA". Rfam says of the family: Transfer RNA (tRNA) molecules are approximately 80 nucleotides in length. Their secondary structure includes four short double-helical elements and three loops (D, anti-codon, and T loops). Further hydrogen bonds mediate the characteristic L-shaped molecular structure. tRNAs have two regions of fundamental functional importance: the anti-codon, which is responsible for specific mRNA codon recognition, and the 3' end, to which the tRNAs corresponding amino acid is attached (by aminoacyl-tRNA synthetases). tRNAs cope with the degeneracy of the genetic code in two manners: having more than one tRNA (with a specific anti-codon) for a particular amino acid; and 'wobble' base-pairing, i.e. permitting non-standard base-pairing at the 3rd anti-codon position. The record is from RNAcentral. RNAcentral also lists the same sequence under 1 other name. Lineage: Bacteria; Pseudomonadati; Pseudomonadota; Alphaproteobacteria; Candidatus Pelagibacterales; Candidatus Pelagibacteraceae.